RNAcentral lists this microRNA precursor (67 nucleotides) under Myotis lucifugus (little brown bat). Its description in RNAcentral is "mir-8/mir-141/mir-200 microRNA precursor family". It matches the Rfam family "mir-8/mir-141/mir-200 microRNA precursor family". From Rfam's summary of the family: The bounds of the precursors are predicted based on conservation and base pairing and are not generally known. Lineage: Eukaryota; Metazoa; Chordata; Mammalia; Chiroptera; Vespertilionidae. The record is from Rfam by way of RNAcentral.
ACUGCCAUCUUACUGGGCAGCAUUGGAUGGUGUCAGGUCUCUAAUACUGCCUGGUAAUGAUGACGGC